This 72-nucleotide non-coding RNA is filed under the name Paenibacillus alvei. The record is from RNAcentral. Lineage: Bacteria; Bacillati; Bacillota; Bacilli; Caryophanales; Paenibacillaceae.
GGAGUAAAGCUUGCUGUGAGAAAUCAGCAGACGCCAUAGUACGCAAGCCGCAACAGCGGCGAGCAGAAGGGC